AGAGUUUGAUCCUGGCUCAGCCUGAACGCUGGCGGCGUGGCUAAGACAUGCAAGUCGAACGGGUGCAGCAAUGCAUCAGUGGCGAACGGGUGAGUAAUGUAUCGCUAACGUACCCUUGGGUCAGGGAUAGCCGGGGGAAACUCCGGGUAAUACCUGAUAAGACCACGAUCCCGCAUGGGAAUGUGUUCAAAGGAGCAAUCCGCGCAAGGAGCGGGCGAUAUCGUAUCAGCUAGUUGGUGAGGUAACGGCUCACCAAGGCGACGACGCGUAGCCGGGCUGAGAGGUCGGCCGGCCACAUUGGGACUGAGACACUGCCCAGACUCCUACGGGGGGCUGCAGUAACGAAUCUUCCGCAAUGCACGAAAGUGUGACGGAGCGACGCCGCGUGUGGGACGAAGCCCUUCGGGGUGUAAACCACUGUCAGGGGUUACCAAGUUCUGAGGAGCCCCAGAGGAAGGCACGGCUAACUCUGUGCCAGCAGCCGCGGUAAUUC
RNAcentral lists this ribosomal RNA (493 nucleotides) under uncultured bacterium. RNAcentral's name for it is "bacterial SSU rRNA". It matches the Rfam family "Bacterial small subunit ribosomal RNA", at positions 8 to 526 of the family's 1533-position model. The record is from RNAcentral.